UACGGAGGAUGCGAGCGUUAUCCGGAUUUACUGGGUGUAAAGGGAGCGUAGACGGCAGGGCAAGUCUGGAGUGAAAGGCAGGGGCCCAACCCCUGGACUGCUCUGGAAACUGUCCGGCUGGAGUGCAGGAGAGGUAAGUGGAAUUCCUAGUGUAGCGGUGAAAUGCGUAGAUAUUAGGAGGAACACCAGUGGCGAAGGCGGCUUACUGGACUGUAACUGACGUUGAGGCUCGAAAGCGUGGGGAGCAAACAGG
This 253-nucleotide ribosomal RNA is filed under the name uncultured bacterium. RNAcentral's name for it is "partial 16S ribosomal RNA". It matches the Rfam family "Bacterial small subunit ribosomal RNA", at positions 524 to 776 of the family's 1533-position model. The record is from RNAcentral.